This 458-nucleotide ribosomal RNA is filed under the name uncultured bacterium. RNAcentral's name for it is "partial 16S ribosomal RNA". It matches the Rfam family "Bacterial small subunit ribosomal RNA", at positions 338 to 795 of the family's 1533-position model. The record is from RNAcentral.
CCUACGGGAGGCAGCAGUGAGGAAUAUUGGUCAAUGGGCGAGAGCCUGAACCAGCCAAGUCGCGUGAGGGAGUACUGCCCUAUGGGUUGUAAACCUCUUUUGUCGGGGAGCAAAAGCCGGACGUCUCCGGCGGUGAGAGUACCCGCGGAAAAAGCAUCUGCUAACUCCGGGCCAGCAGCCGCGGUAUUACGGAGGAGGCGAGCGUUAUCUGGAUUUAUUGGGGUUAAAGGGUGCGCAGGCGGAUUUUGAAGUCAGCGGUAAAAUCGUGGGGCUCAACCCCAGCCGGCCGUUGAAACUGGGGAUCUUGAGUGGGCGAGAGGUAUGCGGAAUGCGUGGUGUAGCGGUGAAAUGCAUAGAUAUCACGCAGAACCCCGAUUGCGAAGGCAGCAUACCGGUACACAACUGACGCUGAGGCACGAAAGCGUGGGGAUCGAACAGGAUUAGAUACCCCUGUAGUC